UACGUAGGGGGCAAGCGUUGUCCGGAUUUAUUGGGCGUAAAGAGCUCGUAGGCGGUUCGGCAAGUCGGGUGUGAAACCUCCAGGCUCAACCUGGAGACGCCACCCGAUACUGCUGUGACUAGAGUCCGGUAGGGGAGCGUGGAAUUCCUGGUGUAGCGGUGAAAUGCGCAGAUAUCAGGAGGAACACCAGCGGCGAAGGCGGCGCUCUGGGCCGGAACUGACGCUGAGGAGCGAAAGCGUGGGUAGCAAACAGG
This 254-nucleotide ribosomal RNA is filed under the name uncultured bacterium. Its description in RNAcentral is "partial 16S ribosomal RNA". It matches the Rfam family "Bacterial small subunit ribosomal RNA", at positions 524 to 776 of the family's 1533-position model. The record is from RNAcentral.